UACGAAGGGGGCGAGCGUUGUUCGGAUUUACUGGGCGUAAAGGGCGCGUAGGCGGCCCUCUUUGUCGCGUGUGAAAGCCCCGGGCUCAACCUGGGAAUUGCGCGCGAAACGGGGGGGCUGGAGUUCGGGAGAGGAGCGUGGAAUUCCCAGUGUAGAGGUGAAAUUCGUAGAUAUUGGGAAGAACACCGGUGGCGAAGGCGGCGCUCUGGACCGAGACUGACGCUGAGGCGCGAAAGCGUGGGGAGCAAACAGG
RNAcentral lists this ribosomal RNA (253 nucleotides) under uncultured bacterium. RNAcentral's name for it is "partial 16S ribosomal RNA". It matches the Rfam family "Bacterial small subunit ribosomal RNA", at positions 524 to 776 of the family's 1533-position model. The record is from RNAcentral.